UACGAGGGGGUCAAGCGUUGUUCGGAAUUAUUGGGCGUAAAGGGUGCGUAGGCGGUUUGGUAAGUCUUAUGUGAAAUCUACAGGCUCAACUUGUAGUCUGCAUGAGAAACUGCCGGGCUUGAGUAUGGGAGAGGUGAGUGGAAUUCCUGGUGUAGCGGUGAAAUGCGUAGAUAUCAGGAGGAACACCUGUGGCGAAAGCGGCUCACUGGACCAUAACUGACGCUGAUGCACGAAAGCUAGGGGAGCAAACAGG
This 253-nucleotide ribosomal RNA is filed under the name uncultured bacterium. RNAcentral's name for it is "partial 16S ribosomal RNA". It matches the Rfam family "Bacterial small subunit ribosomal RNA", at positions 524 to 776 of the family's 1533-position model. The record is from RNAcentral.